This 1104-nucleotide long non-coding RNA is filed under the name Bos indicus x Bos taurus (hybrid cattle). RNAcentral's name for it is "lncRNA (ENSBIXG00005018381.1)". The record is from RNAcentral. Lineage: Eukaryota; Metazoa; Chordata; Mammalia; Artiodactyla; Bovidae.
GAACAGGGCUCCGGACGGUGCCGCCGCGGACCCCUCCGCAGGUCGUGUUGACCCUGACUUGGGAAACACCGCAGGUCUCCUCCCUGCGGCGGCCACGGGGACCCCGCAGGUUGGCGGGGGGCACGCACGUCCCGUCCGCCAAUCCCGCUGGGGGGUCGGAAGCGCCUAACGGAUGUUGGGAGACAGGGACCUGCCUCCGCCACACAGUGACGGUCAAGAGAACCCCAACUGAACUCCUGGCGGGGCCGAUCGUCAGAGGCUUCUCCAGAAUCUGGCCUCCGUGCGCGGGGACACUGAGUGCUCUGGGACGGGCAACGCGAUGCCUAAUGGCCGUGCUUGAAGCUGGGUGCUCCCGCGGACCUUUGCCCGUGUGCGACCCAGGUCCCCCAGGUGAGGUGCGCAAACAGUGGUGCGUUGUGUGGUGGCUGUUGCGCGAGGUCGAUCAGAAGGCCGCACGGUGGUGUUUCGCAUAAUAAAAAUGAGUGAAUAGUUUUCAUUAAGUCACUAGAACAAUAUAACCAAAUUCUAAAAUUCACAAUAGUGAAAAUCGCCUUUGUUCCCACUGUGAUCACUUUGCAGUCAAUUUUUAAAACGUUGAAUACAGUUUCUUUGUCCACACUAUUUGAAGAUCAUGAAAGACGUGUUCCACGAUUCAGAAUUUUCUAAAUCCUUCCUGGGAGCCGCUGAUCCUCUCCCUCCAAACAGGCCCACGCCUUAUAGCAACCAACCCAGGAAGCCAAAUCCCACCCUCUACAGCAAUACGCCCCAAGAUCAGUGCCUCACACCUUCCUCCUUUCCAGCCUUUCCCUUUACAGUGGAAAUGUAAUGCCAAAUCUGUUCCCCCAAGAAAUCACGUGGGAACACGUCUCUGUCAACCUGCCUCCAGCUCAUCACAAUUUCAAGCCUGGAAAGCCUGCCUGUUGUUUCACCAGAAAUCGUCCCCACUCCCACGCGUGCCCAGUGUUUCAGCCUCAGUCCAGGGCAUUGCGUCUUGCUAUCCUGCAGAUCCUCAACUCGCCCCACCACCCCGGAGCUACCAUCAAGCUCAAUGGACAGAAGCUCAGCCCUGCUGCCUCUCAAAACCCCACACGCCUGCCACCCUGA